AGCUCGUAGUUGGAUUUCUGGUUCGGCGUUCCUGGUCCUCGGCCACUAGAUGGCCGUGAGUACCGGUUGUGACGCUAGCCAUCCUUCGGGAGAGCGCGCGGUGCUUAACGGCGCUGCGCGCCAUCUCGAUCCUUUACUUUGAACAAAUUAGAGUGUUUAAAGCAGGCUAAUGCCUUGAAUACCUUAGCAUGGAAUAAUAAGAUAGGACUUUUGGCCUAUUUUGUUGGUCUUUAGGACAAGAGUAAUGAUUGAUAGGGACAGUUGGGGGUGCUAGUAUUGAAUGGCCAGAGGUGAAAUUCUUGGAUUCAUUCAAGACUAACUAAUGCGAAAGCAUUCUCCAAGGAUGUCUUCUUUAAUCAAGAACGAAAGUUGGGGGAUCGAUGACGAUCAGAUACCGUCGUAGUCUCAACCAUAAACUAUACCGACUAGGGAUGAGUGGACGUUGUUUUUUACUGACUCCAUUCGCACCUUAUGAGAAAUCAAAGUCUUUGGGUUCCGGGGGGAGUAUGGUCGCAAGGCUGAAACUUAAAGGAAUUGACGGAAGGGCACCACCAGGAGUGGAGCCUGCGGCUUAAUUUGACUCAACACGGGAAAACUUACCAGGUCCGGACAUAGCAAGGAUUGACAGAUUGAAGAUCAUUCUCGAUUCUGAGGGUGGUGGUGCAAGGGCGAAUUCCACAGUGGAUAUCAAG
RNAcentral lists this ribosomal RNA (692 nucleotides) under uncultured marine eukaryote. RNAcentral describes it as "bacterial SSU rRNA". It matches the Rfam family "Eukaryotic small subunit ribosomal RNA", at positions 625 to 1318 of the family's 1831-position model. The record is from RNAcentral.